Molecule: long non-coding RNA, 445 nt
Filed under: Serinus canaria (Common canary)
Lineage: Eukaryota; Metazoa; Chordata; Aves; Passeriformes; Fringillidae
Description: lncRNA (ENSSCAG00000007541.1)
Source: RNAcentral
AGCAAUGUACUGGAAUUGGCACUGGACAAGAACUUGUUUUUCUUGUCCCUUAGAGCCCGAGUGCUUGGAGUUCCGGGUUCAGAGAGGUUGCUGAAUGAGCCACCAGGUGGUGAGAGGGCUCCGUGUUACGGCUCUUCCUCCACUCAGUACCUCUGAUCUUUGUGGCCCUGCUUCUGGGAGGUGCUGGGAGUCAUUGCUCCGCACAGAGGACAGUCUGCAGCCACCUAUCCUAGUGAGGCAUCUCCUGCCUGGGUGUCUGGAUCUCUGCAGCUCUUGGUCCUCACAGCAACAGUGGCUUCAUAUGGUCAGGGCUGGGCUUGAGAGCUGCCAGGUGAAGAGCUGUCAUCCUCCUCCUCCUCCUCCUCCAAGGGUCUCACUCAGCUGGAGAGGUGACUGUGUGAAGAUUGCCUGCUUCUACCAAAGGUCACGUUUUUUUUGCACGUAA